CACGUAGGGCGCAAGCGUUGUCCGGAAUUAUUGGGCGUAAAGCGUGCGCAGGCGGUUCGUUGUGUCGGUGGUGAAAUCCCCGGGCUUAACCUGGGAAUGGCCAUGGAAACUGGCGAACUGGAGUGCGGCAGAGGGGGGUGGAAUUCCUGGUGUAGCAGUGAAAUGCGUAGAUAUCAGGAGGAACACCGAUGGCGAAGGCAGGUCUCUGGGCUGACACUGACGCUCAUGCACGAAAGCGUGGGGAGCAAACAGG
This 253-nucleotide ribosomal RNA is filed under the name uncultured bacterium. RNAcentral describes it as "partial 16S ribosomal RNA". It matches the Rfam family "Bacterial small subunit ribosomal RNA", at positions 524 to 776 of the family's 1533-position model. The record is from RNAcentral.